CCUACGGGUGGCAGCAGUGAGGAAUAUUGGUCAAUGGGCGGGAGCCUGAACCAGCCAAGCCGCGUGAGGGAAGAAGGUACAGCGUAUCGUAAACUUCUUUUGUCAGGGAACAAAGGCGGGGACUAGUCCCCGGUUGAGGGUACCUGAUGAAAAAGCAUCGGCUAACUCCGUGCCAGCAGCCGCGGUAAUACGGAGGAUGCGAGCGUUAUCCGGAUUUAUUGGGUUUAAAGGGUGCGUAGGCGGCCUGUUAAGUCAGCGGGAAAAGCCCGGGGCUCAACCCCGGCGAGCCGUUGGAACUGGCGGGCUGGAGUGGGAGGGAAGUACGCGGAAUGCGCGGUGUAGCGGUGAAAUGCUUAGAUAUGGCGCAGAACCCCGAUUGCGAAGGCAGCUUACCGGCUCCACACUGACGCUGAGGCACGAAAGCGUGGGUAUCGAACAGGAUUAGAUACCCUAGUAGUC
RNAcentral lists this ribosomal RNA (459 nucleotides) under uncultured bacterium. RNAcentral's name for it is "partial 16S ribosomal RNA". It matches the Rfam family "Bacterial small subunit ribosomal RNA", at positions 338 to 795 of the family's 1533-position model. The record is from RNAcentral.